GCAGAGUUCUACCCUAUGUGUGCUUUGAGGUGAAGGAAAACAUCCUCGUAGCUCACAGAGGAAAUCACAAAUCCACGCCAUCUGCACUAAGAUUUUGAGGAUUUAACCUUGGAAGUGUCCACGAGAGGCCAAGGAAAAUAAUGAAUUAAUUUACAUCUUGGAGUACAAGGAGACCUGAGCUGGAUUAGGAUUGAUUUAGGAUGGACUCAUGCUGCAGCAAUGGGAAUGGAACAGAUUUAAGUUGGAAUCAGACCUGGAAUUCUGGGGUCUAAAACCCACCCUUGAAUCCGGAAGCAGCAAAUAUCCUUGGAGUCACAGCCAGUCAGGGAAAAGCUCCAUUUUUCUCAUUUUUUUGGCCUCAAAUGCCUAUUGCAGUUGUCCCAACAUCCUGACUUGAGCAAGUGGCUUCCACCUGCACACCAGGCCUUUUUUGGAAUACAGUCCCUAAAA
Chiroxiphia lanceolata (lance-tailed manakin) is the source of this 450-nucleotide long non-coding RNA. RefSeq lists it as uncharacterized. The transcript is spliced from 3 exons. The record is from RefSeq and is a predicted model, not a curated record. NCBI's taxonomy places the organism in Eukaryota, Metazoa, Chordata, Aves, Passeriformes, Pipridae.